AGAUUGAACGCUGGCGGCAGGCCUAACACAUGCAAGUCGAGCGGCAGCACGGGUACUUGUACCUGGUGGCGAGCGGCGGACGGGUGAGUAAUGCCUAGGAAUCUGCCUGAUAGUGGGGGAUAACGUUCGGAAACGGACGCUAAUACCGCAUACGUCCUACGGGAGAAAGUGGGGGAUCUUCGGACCUCACGCUAUCAGAUGAGCCUAGGUCGGAUUAGCUAGUUGGUAGGGUGAAGGCCUACCAAGGCUACGAUCCGUAACUGGUCUGAGAGGAUGAUCAGUCACACUGGAACUGAGACACGGUCCAGACUCCUACGGGAGGCAGCAGUGGGGAAUAUUGGACAAUGGGCGAAAGCCUGAUCCAGCCAUGCCGCGUGUGUGAAGAAGUCUUCGGAUUGUAAAGCACUUUAAGUGGAGAAGGCAUUAACCUAAUACGUUAGUGUUUGACGUUACGACAGAAUAAGCACGGCUAACUCUGUGCCAGCAGCCGUA
This 492-nucleotide ribosomal RNA is filed under the name uncultured soil bacterium. Its description in RNAcentral is "bacterial SSU rRNA". It matches the Rfam family "Bacterial small subunit ribosomal RNA", at positions 26 to 519 of the family's 1533-position model. The record is from RNAcentral.